This 1606-nucleotide long non-coding RNA is filed under the name Pelobates cultripes (western spadefoot toad). The record is from RNAcentral. Lineage: Eukaryota; Metazoa; Chordata; Amphibia; Anura; Pelobatidae.
UGGAGACCAGGUUUCGUGAAAGUUAAACACUGCAUAUCAACACAUACAUUCCAUACCAAUUGUCAAACACAGUGGUGGAGACAUGAUGAUUUGGACUUGUUUUGCAGCAACAGGACAUGGAACCUUGUAGUCAUUAAGUUGUCCAUGAACUCCUGUAUACCAAAGAAUUCUAUAGUUAAAUGGAAGGCAAUCUGUAUGAGAGCUAAAGGUUGGCUGAAAUUAGAUCAUGCAACAGGAUAAUGAUCCCAAGCACACCAGCACAUCUACAACAGAAUGGCUGGAAAAGAAAAGAAUAAAGGUGUUGCAAUGGCCCAGUGCAGACCUCAACCCAAUUGAAAUGCUGUAGCUGGAUUUUAAGAGAAUAUAUCUAUACAAUGCAUCUAAAAAGCACAACAGUAUAGUAAAUGCAUAAAUUUAUUGAUACAAUAAAAAGUUGCAAAGUAAUCUAUGCAUGUAAAUACACAGAGAAAAUUGAGAACAAUAAAAUAGUUAAAAUGCAAAAUUAUAUAUUGCAAAAGUUAAAUAUAAAUAAGGAGCUUUAAGAGAAUAUAAACACAUGCCAGCAAACCUUAAUGAACUGAUGUUACGUUGUAAAGAAGAGUGGGCCAAAAUUCCUUCACAAGAUGUGAGAGACAGAUAGUCAUAAAGAAAAUGAUUACUUCAAGCUAUUGCUGCUAAAGGUGGUUCUUCUACAUGCUAUUGAAUCUUAAGAUGUAGUUAGUUUUUACACACAUGGCAUGUUGAUUUUGCCUUUAUUUGUAAAGUAAAUAAAGACAUGGUGUAAUAUGUCUUGUGUUGCUCAUAUGAUGUUUUAUUUACCUAAUUUUAAGACCUACUAAGGAACAUAUUUUUGUUAACCCCUUAAGACCGCAUGGCGUUCUAUGCUGUCUCUAUUUGGGGCGGUCUUGCCUCCCAUGUGGCCGGCGGCACAUGGCCGCUGCAGAUCGCGGUUGGGGAGCAUGCCUGCAACCCCCCUGUGCCCGGGGACCGCGGUCUGCAGCUUCCGAUCGCAGUGACAGGCUGUCACUGCAAUCGAUAUUUACCAUGUGUCAGCCAAUUUUAAAAUCGUCUGACACAUGGAGCCGCAGCAUUUUCACUCUGCAGAUCGCGGUCGGGGGACAUGCCUUGCCCCCAGGCAGUCCCCCUGCUGUCAGUGACCGCGAUCUGCAGAGUAUGAUCGCAGUGACAGGCUUUCUCUGCGAUCUGAUCGCAGAGACAGCCUCUCACUGAGAUCUGAUCACAGUGACAGCCUGUCACUGCGAUCAGAGUUACUAAUAGGCUGACAUAUGUAACUACAGGCAGGAUCCCCUUGCAGAUCGCGGUGGGGGGCAUGCCUGGCCACCCAGGCACUCCCCCUGUGGCCAAUUACCGCGAUCUGCAGGAGGUGAUCACAGUGACAGCCAGUCACUGUGAUCACUGAUCCUGUGUGUCAGCCAGUGAUGUAAAAUCACUGUCUGACACUGUCUCUGCCCCUCUCCUGUUAAAAAUAAAAUAUAAGUAAAAUAUACUUAGAUCAUAUAUAUAUAUUAUAUGUAUGAUCUAAGUAUAUAUAUAUAUAUAUAAAUAUAUACACACACACACACAUUUACACAUACACUGUCUAAGU